UGGCCUGAGCAACAGAAGAAAACGUUAACAUUACCGCCUAUGGAGAAUCUAUUACGCAUAUUGCCCCAAAUUGUGGCCUUGAAUUUCAAAGGUGAUGGAGUGUUUCAUGACUCAGUGACCACAAUUUAGGAUGAUAGCUGCUGAAAUCAAGAUAUGGCUAAAACUUCACAGAAUUGUUCAGAAAUGUGUACUAAAGGGAUACAAACUGCAAUAUAAGUGGAAUCUGACAUUAGCUGAUCUAAUAUGGGUCAAUAUCCCUAAUGGACCUUGAGAUGAGGAACACAGAUUUAUGACUCUCAUUAAAAAAUUAGUCCGCCAUACAAUUGUGGAAGCUGUGAUUUUAAAAAUUGACAUAAAUGAACUAGGACUGGUGUUUUAUAGCGCUGAUGUGAUGUGAAAAAAAGUAUAAAAAAAUAAACCUGAACAAAUAAUUACAAAGGA
Long non-coding RNA from Mytilus californianus (California mussel), 441 nucleotides. RefSeq lists it as uncharacterized. The transcript has 2 exons. NCBI's taxonomy places the organism in Eukaryota, Metazoa, Mollusca, Bivalvia, Mytilida, Mytilidae. The record is from RefSeq and is a predicted model, not a curated record.